UUGUAAUGAUGUGAAUCUCUCACUGAAUUCAGUGCAAAUCCGUGAACUUUUUAACCCUGAGCAAU
This is a small nucleolar RNA of Chlorocebus sabaeus (green monkey), 65 nucleotides long. Lineage: Eukaryota; Metazoa; Chordata; Mammalia; Primates; Cercopithecidae. The record is from Rfam.